RNAcentral lists this ribosomal RNA (216 nucleotides) under Oscillospiraceae bacterium. RNAcentral's name for it is "partial 23S ribosomal RNA". It matches the Rfam family "Bacterial large subunit ribosomal RNA", at positions 2710 to 2925 of the family's 2925-position model. Lineage: Bacteria; Bacillati; Bacillota; Clostridia; Eubacteriales; Oscillospiraceae. The record is from RNAcentral.
UGGUGCACCAGUUGUCGUGCCAACGGCAUAGCUGGGUAGCUACGUAUGGACGAGAUAAACGCUGAAGGCAUCUAAGCGUGAAACUCCCCCUAAGAUGAGAUCUCUCACCCCUUGAGGGGUAAGGCUCCAGGAAGACUACCUGGUUGAUAGGCCGGAGGUGGAAGCGUGGUAACAUGUGAAGCUGACCGGUACUAAUAAGCCGAGGGCUUGACCUUA